UACAGAGGGUGCGAGCGUUGUCUGGAAUCACUGGGCGUAAAGGGCGCGUAGGUGGCGGCCCAAGUCCAUGGUGAAAGCUCGAUGCUCAACAUCGAGUCGGCCACGGAUACUGGGUUGCUCGAGCACUGUAGGGGCAGAUGGAAUUCCGGGUGUAGCGGUGGAAUGCGUAGAGAUCCGGAAGAACACCGGUGGCGAAGGCGGUCUGCUGGGCAGUUGCUGACACUGAGGCGCGACAGCGUGGGGAGCAAACAGG
This 253-nucleotide ribosomal RNA is filed under the name uncultured bacterium. Its description in RNAcentral is "partial 16S ribosomal RNA". It matches the Rfam family "Bacterial small subunit ribosomal RNA", at positions 524 to 776 of the family's 1533-position model. The record is from RNAcentral.